CGAGAACGUUACAAUUUUUGCGGGCAGUGAGAAAAGGGCUUUCGUCUCCGUGGGUAGGACCACGCAGUGUAGUUGAAGUUUCAGGUGUGAACUAUAUCACAGUCAGGCAAGAAAGGUGCACGUUCGUGGCCUUACCCCUGCAUUGGACUUUCUUCGGCUGAUGUCACAUCGAACGGAACUUUAAGUUUAUGACUGCGCAGCAAUGCUGCUAAUGUACUGAGGAACUGUGAAGAUGGAGGAACAUCAGAAUCCUGGAUGGAUGUCCACAGAGACAAAGCACCAUUGCAGUCUCCACGGCGAC
Zootermopsis nevadensis is the source of this 301-nucleotide long non-coding RNA. RefSeq lists it as uncharacterized. The record is from RefSeq and is a predicted model, not a curated record. Lineage: Eukaryota; Metazoa; Arthropoda; Insecta; Blattodea; Termopsidae.